Molecule: ribosomal RNA, 324 nt
Filed under: uncultured bacterium
Lineage: Bacteria
Description: bacterial SSU rRNA
Rfam family: Bacterial small subunit ribosomal RNA
Source: RNAcentral
GACGAACGCUGGCGGCGUGCCUAAUACAUGCAAGUCGAACGCUUCUUUCUUAUCGAACUUCGGUUCACCAAGAAAGAGGAGUGGCGGACGGGUGAGUAACACGUGGGUAACCUGCCCUUUAGCGGGGGAUAACACUUGGAAACAGGUGCUAAUACCGCAUAAUCUUUUUUCUCGCAUGAGAGAAAAGUGAAAGACGCUUUUGCGUCACUAGAGGAUGGACCCGCGCUGCAUUAGCUAGUUGGUGAGGUAAUGGCUCACCAAGGCCACGAUGCACAGCCGACCUGAGGGGGUGAUCGGCCGCGCUGGGACUGAGACACGGCCCAG